RNA transcript from Strigops habroptila (Kakapo), 776 nucleotides. Lineage: Eukaryota; Metazoa; Chordata; Aves; Psittaciformes; Psittacidae. The record is from RefSeq and is a predicted model, not a curated record.
ACCGCCCCCCGCCCCGCCCCGGCCCCGGCGGAGGGGAAGGGGAAGGGCCAUAAAGUCUCGCGGGAGAGCGCGGGAGGCGGUUUGAAAGAUGGCGGAUGAGGUGGACCAGCAACAAACUACAAAUACUGUAGAGGAGCCGCUUGAUCUCAUCAGGCUCAGUCUCGAUGAGCGAAUCUAUGUCAAAAUGAGGAAUGACAGAGAGCUCAGAGGCAGACUACAUGCAUAUGAUCAGCACUUAAAUAUGAUCUUGGGCGAUGUGGAAGAAACUGUAACUACAAUAGAGAUUGAUGAAGAAACCUACGAAGAGAUAUAUAAGUCUACCAAAAGGAAUAUUCCGAUGCUCUUUGUCAGAGGUGACGGCGUUGUGCUUGUAGCUCCCCCGUUGAGGGUUGGUUGAAGCAGCAGAGGAUUUAACCUUGUUGGAAAGUUUCAGGCUUUUGGACAAUGUGUAUCAGCACAGUUGGAAGAGGUCAGUUCACCUGACAUAGCUCACCUGAAUCCCUGUACAACUCUUCAAUUGUCUCAUUUGUCACCAUCUUUUGAAGCUUUGUGAGAUGUUAUGCAUGGUGAUUGCUCAAUUCUUGUCUCACUGAUUUCUUUAUAAUCUUUUACUAUCUGAUUUUAAAGUAUUUACUGUCUGAUUGUAAAGAUUAUUAUUAUAUUGCUGUCCAGUAGCAUCUCUUUAUACAGUUUGAAACGAGCUCUCCAGAGUGGGAGCCACCAUGAGCUCCUCUGUGCUGAGUGUGGAUUAAAACAAAAAUAAUCAUUUAAAAAGC